RNAcentral lists this ribosomal RNA (1346 nucleotides) under uncultured bacterium. RNAcentral's name for it is "partial 16S ribosomal RNA". It matches the Rfam family "Bacterial small subunit ribosomal RNA", at positions 28 to 1381 of the family's 1533-position model. The record is from RNAcentral.
GACGAACGCUGGCGGCGUGCUUAACACAUGCAAGUCGAACGGAAAGGCCCUGCUUUUGUGGGGUGCUCGAGUGGCGAACGGGUGAGUAACACGUGAGUAACCUGCCCUUGACUUUGGGAUAACUUCAGGAAACUGGGGCUAAUACCGGAUAGGAGCUCCUGCUGCAUGGUGGGGGUUGGAAAGUUUCGGCGGUUGGGGAUGGACUCGCGGCUUAUCAGCUUGUUGGUGGGGUAGUGGCUUACCAAGGCUUUGACGGGUAGCCGGCCUGAGAGGGUGACCGGCCACAUUGGGACUGAGAUACGGCCCAGACUCCUACGGGAGGCAGCAGUGGGGAAUAUUGCACAAUGGGCGGAAGCCUGAUGCAGCAACGCCGCGUGCGGGAUGACGGCCUUCGGGUUGUAAACCGCUUUCGCCUGUGACGAAGCGUGAGUGACGGUAAUGGGUAAAGAAGCACCGGCUAACUACGUGCCAGCAGCCGCGGUGAUACGUAGGGUGCGAGCGUUGUCCGGAUUUAUUGGGCGUAAAGGGCUCGUAGGUGGUUGAUCGCGUCGGAAGUGUAAUCUUGGGGCUUAACCCUGAGCGUGCUUUCGAUACGGGUUGACUUGAGGAAGGUAGGGGAGAAUGGAAUUCCUGGUGGAGCGGUGGAAUGCGCAGAUAUCAGGAGGAACACCAGUGGCGAAGGCGGUUCUCUGGGCCUUUCCUGACGCUGAGGAGCGAAAGCGUGGGGAGCGAACAGGCUUAGAUACCCUGGUAGUCCACGCUGUAAACGGUGGGUACUAGGUGUGGGGUCCAUUCCACGGGUUCCGUGCCGUAGCUAACGCUUUAAGUACCCCGCCUGGGAAGUACGGCCGCAAGGCUAAAACUCAAAGGAAUUGACGGGGCCCCGCACAAGCGGCGGAGCAUGCGGAUUAAUUCGAUGCAACGCGUAGAACCUUACCUGGGUUUGACAUGGAUCGGGAGUGCUCAGAGAUGGGUGUGCCUCUUUUGGGGUCGGUUCACAGGUGGUGCAUGGCUGUCGUCAGCUCGUGUCGUGAGAUGUUGGGUUAAGUCCCGCAACGAGCGCAACCCUUGUUCACUGUUGCCAGCACGUUAUGGUGGGGACUCAGUGGAGACCGCCGGGGUCAACUCGGAGGAAGGUGGGGAUGACGUCAAGUCAUCAUGCCCCUUAUGUCCAGGGCUUCACGCAUGCUACAAUGGCUGGUACAGAGAGUGGCGAGCCUGUGAGGGUGAGCGAAUCUCGGAAAGCCGGUCUCAGUUCGGAUUGGGGUCUGCAACUCGACCUCAUGAAGUCGGAGUCGCUAGUAAUCGCAGAUCAGCAACGCUGCGGUGAAUACGUUCCCGGGGCU